RNAcentral lists this ribosomal RNA (1461 nucleotides) under metagenome. RNAcentral's name for it is "bacterial SSU rRNA". It matches the Rfam family "Bacterial small subunit ribosomal RNA". The record is from RNAcentral.
AGAGUUUGAUCAUGGCUCAGGAUGAACGCUGGCGGCGUGCCUAACACAUGCAAGUCGAGCGAUCUUCUUCGGAAGAGAGCGGCGGACGGGUGAGUAACGCGUGGGUAACCUGCCCUGUACACACGGAUAACAUACCGAAAGGUAUGCUAAUACGGGAUGACAUAAGAAAUUCGCAUGUUUUUCUUAUCAAAGCUCCGGCGGUACAGGAUGGACCCGCGUCUGAUUAGCUAGUUGGUGAGGUAACGGCUCACCAAGGCGACGAUCAGUAGCCGACCUGAGAGGGUGAUCGGCCACAUUGGAACUGAGACACGGUCCAAACUCCUACGGGAGGCAGCAGUGGGGAAUAUUGCACAAUGGGCGAAGGCCUGAUGCAGCAACGCCGCGUGAGCGAUGAAGGCCUUCGGGUCGUAAAGCUCUGUCCUCAAGGAAGAUAAUGACGGUACUUGAGGAGGAAGCCCCGGCUAACUACGUGCCAGCAGCCGCGGUAAUACGUAGGGGGCUAGCGUUAUCCGGAUUUACUGGGCGUAAAGGGUGCGUAGGCGGUCUUUUAAGUCAGGAGUGAAAGGCUACGGCUCAACCGUAGUAAGCUCUUGAAACUGGAGGACUUGAGUGCAGGAGAGGAGAGUGGAAUUCCUAGUGUAGCGGUGAAAUGCGUAGAUAUUAGGAGGAACACCAGUAGCGAAGGCGGCUCUCUGGACUGUAACUGACGCUGAGGCACGAAAGCGUGGGGAGCAAACAGGAUUAGAUACCCUGGUAGUCCACGCCGUAAACGAUGAGUACUAGCUGUCGGAGGUUACCCCCUUCGGUGGCGCAGCUAACGCAUUAAGUACUCCGCCUGGGGAGUACGCUCGCAAGAGUGAAACUCAAAGGAAUUGGCGGGGACCCGCACAAGUAGCGGAGCAUGUGGUUUAAUUCGAAGCAACGCGAAGAACCUUACCUAAGCUUGACAUCCUUUUGACCGAUGCCUAAUCGCAUCUUUCCCUUCGGGGACAGAAGUGACAGGUGGUGCAUGGUUGUCGUCAGCUCGUGUCGUGAGAUGUUGGGUUAAGUCCCGCAACGAGCGCAACCCUUGCCUUUAGUUGCCAUCAUUAAGUUGGGCACUCUAGAGGGACUGCCAGGGAUAACCUGGAGGAAGGUGGGGAUGGCGUCAAAUCAUCAUGCCCCUUAUGCUUAGGGCUACACACGUGCUACAAUGGGUGGUACAGAGGGCAGCAAAGUCGUGAGGCCAAGCUAAUCCCUUAAAGCCAUUCUCAGUUCGGGUUGUAGGCUGAAACUCGCCUACAUGAAGCUGGAGUUACUAGUAAUCGCAGAUCAGAAUGCUGCGGUGAAUGCGUUCCCGGGUCUUGUACACACCGCCCGUCACACCAUGGGAGUUGGGGGCGCCCGAAGCCGGCUAGCUAACCUUUUGGAAGCGGUCGUCGAAGGUGAAACCAAUAACUGGGGUGAAGUCGUAACAAGGUA